Molecule: transfer RNA, 72 nt
Filed under: Pylaiella littoralis
Lineage: Eukaryota; Phaeophyceae; Ectocarpales; Acinetosporaceae
Description: transfer RNA-Asp (GUC)
Rfam family: tRNA
About the family: Transfer RNA (tRNA) molecules are approximately 80 nucleotides in length. Their secondary structure includes four short double-helical elements and three loops (D, anti-codon, and T loops).
Source: RNAcentral
GGAGAAGUAACUCAGUUGGUAGAGUGUCGGCUUGUCAUGCCGAUGGCCGCGGGUUCAAGUCCCGUCUUUUCC